RNAcentral lists this unclassified non-coding RNA (420 nucleotides) under Hevea brasiliensis (rubber tree). The record is from RNAcentral. Lineage: Eukaryota; Viridiplantae; Streptophyta; Magnoliopsida; Malpighiales; Euphorbiaceae.
GGAGCUUCAUGAAACUGUUCGACCAUAGCAAAUCGAUGCAAGAUACAGAUUUUUCGCCCACUUGUCCUUCACAUGCUGACUAGGAAAUGCGGUCGUUCGAAGUGUUUCUUGUGUCUCGUCUGCAGGCUUCCUUCUUGGUACACUUAAAACUAAUGCAGCCUGGUCAAAUGUGGCAGCGGUUGCAGUGAUUCGAUAACCACUGUCCCAUCUUCGGUGAAUACCAUCACUGGGGUAUAAGAAAUCAAGUUCCACAACCUGGUCAGAAAAGCCUGCAUUCCGGGACAUGACAACUCCCCACCUCCCUCCUGCUGUAGCCAUAGAGGUAACAUAGAACCCCUCUCGCCAUUUUUUAUUUAUCCACUUGAAAGGAAAUGAAUCGCUGACUUUAUACGACUGCUGUGAAUACUGUGUACCUUUAGA